GAUUUGUCUGGUUAAUUCCGUUAACGAACGAGACCUUAACCUGCUAACUAGCGCUCCGAACAUUCAGUUCGGUAGAUCUUCUUAGAGGGACGUCAUGUGGUUAACAUGAGGAAGUUUGAGGCAAUAACAGGUCUGUGAUGCCCUUAGAUGUCCUGGGCUGCACGCGCGCUACACUGGCUUGGCCAACGAGCCUCCUGCUCCGAGAGGACCGGGGACUCUUUUGAAACCAAGCCGUGAUGGGGAUCGAUUCUUGCAAUUUUUCAUCUUGAACGAGGAAUUCCUAGUAGGCGCAAGUCAUCAGCUUGCACCGAUUACGUCCCUGCCCUUUGUACACACCGCCCGUCGCUCCUACCGAUUGAGUGGUACGGUGAACUGUUCGGACUCCUUUUUGGAGAAAGUUCCGUCAGCCUUACCACUUAGAGGAAGGAGAAGUCGUAACAAGGUUUCCGUAGUGAACCUGCAGAAGGAUCA
RNAcentral lists this ribosomal RNA (471 nucleotides) under uncultured Syndiniales. RNAcentral describes it as "bacterial SSU rRNA". It matches the Rfam family "Eukaryotic small subunit ribosomal RNA", at positions 1308 to 1828 of the family's 1831-position model. The record is from RNAcentral. Lineage: Eukaryota; Dinophyceae; Syndiniales.